Molecule: ribosomal RNA, 164 nt
Filed under: Quercus pubescens
Lineage: Eukaryota; Viridiplantae; Streptophyta; Magnoliopsida; Fagales; Fagaceae
Description: 5.8S ribosomal RNA
Rfam family: 5.8S ribosomal RNA
About the family: 5.8S ribosomal RNA (5.8S rRNA) is a component of the large subunit of the eukaryotic ribosome. It is transcribed by RNA polymerase I as part of the 45S precursor that also contains 18S and 28S rRNA.
Source: RNAcentral
AAAACGACUCUCGACAACGGAUAUCUAGGCUCUCGCAUCGAUGAAGAACGUAGCGAAAUGCGAUACUUGGUGUGAAUUGCAGAAUCCCGCGAAUCAUCGAGUUUUUGAACGCAAGUUGCGCUCGAAGCCAUUCGGCCGAGGGCACGUCUGCCUGGGUGUCACGC